This is a long non-coding RNA of Solanum lycopersicum (tomato), 956 nucleotides long. RefSeq lists it as uncharacterized. Lineage: Eukaryota; Viridiplantae; Streptophyta; Magnoliopsida; Solanales; Solanaceae. The record is from RefSeq and is a predicted model, not a curated record.
AAGGUAUUUACUAUAUUCUCAAAGUUCCAUCAAACUUUAUUUAAUGCAAUAUAUUAAAUUCAAGAAACUAACUCUAUUUUUCAGGCUUCAAAAUUAACUCCUCUCAUCUAAUUCUUUACCAAAUUCUUCUCUAUUUUUUCCCUCUGUUAUAAUCACACAAUUAAUUCUGCACUUAAUUUCCCUUUCUCCUACACAUUAUAUAAAUCUUGUCAAUCUUUUUCGUUUUCUCCAAACAACUCCCUUUUGCCUAUACUAAAAAAUUCAGGGGAUUAUUGUCUUGUUGAUAAAGCUGUUCAAAAUGAACUACAGGAGGGAGAGUAUUCAUGAUCCAAAGCUUGAUUUGAAGCUGAAUUUAUCACCCCCUAGGGAAAAUAAUAAUAUGUUUCCAAUAUUAUCACCAAGCAGAUCAUCGUCUUCGUAUACUUCUUCAAUGGAGAGAUCACCAGCAAGUUCAUGUGUUUCAAGGGAACCAACUCCAGAUCAUCAAGAAUUUUUUGGUAGCCCUGAAGCAACAACAACUUCUAUGAUGUUAGUAGGAUGUCCAAGAUGCUUAAUGUAUGUUAUGUUAUCAGCGGAAGAUCCAAAAUGCCCCAAAUGUAAGAGCUCUGUUUUGCUUGAUUUUUUCCGCGAGGAUCGAAUCAAUAAUCCAAAGAAUUGAUGAUGAUCAUGAUGCGAUGGAAUCUUAAUAGUUCAGUUGGUUGACUUUCUGAAUUAUCAUGGUUGACUUUUUGAAUUGAACUGUCACCUUAUAUAACUAAUUAGGUUUUAGUAGUAUUUAAUUUCUUUACAUAUGUUGUAAUCCUUUUUGUUUUUUUUUUUUGAGAGUUUGUUGAGGUAAUUGAAUGGAUUUGAUGAAAAUCUUGAAUGUAAUCAAAAGAGGCUAGUAUGGUUGAUAUUAUGUUCAUCAUAUUAAUUCAUUCAUGUUUUAGUAGCUCUAAGUUGCUAUCUUUACUAAA